GAUGAACGCUGGCGGCGUGCUUAACACAUGCAAGUCGAACGAAGAAGCCCAGCUUGCUGGGUGGAUUAGUGGCGAACGGGUGAGUAACACGUGAGUAACCUGCCCUUAACUCUGGGAUAAGCCUGGGAAACUGGGUCUAAUACCGGAUAGGAGCGUCCACCGCAUGGUGGGUGUUGGAAAGAUUUAUCGGUUUUGGAUGGACUCGCGGCCUAUCAGCUUGUUGGUGAGGUAAUGGCUCACCAAGGCGACGACGGGUAGCCGGCCUGAGAGGGUGACCGGCCACACUGGGACUGAGACACGGCCCAGACUCCUACGGGAGGCAGCAGUGGGGAAUAUUGCACAAUGGGCGCAAGCCUGAUGCAGCGACGCCGCGUGAGGGAUGACGGCCUUCGGGUUGUAAACCUCUUUCAGUAGGGAAGAAGCGAAAGUGACGGUACCUGCAGAAGAAGCACCGGCUAACUACGUG
This 466-nucleotide ribosomal RNA is filed under the name uncultured bacterium. Its description in RNAcentral is "partial 16S ribosomal RNA". It matches the Rfam family "Bacterial small subunit ribosomal RNA", at positions 28 to 507 of the family's 1533-position model. The record is from RNAcentral.